CCUACGGGAGGCAGCAGUGGGGAAUUUUGGACAAUGGGCGAAAGCCUGAUCCAGCAAUGCCGCGUGUGGGAAGAAGGCCUUCGGGUUGUAAACCACUUUUGUACGGAACGAAACGGCUCGCUUUAAUACAGUGGGCUAAUGACGGUACCGUAAGAAUAAGCACCGGCUAACUACGUGCCAGCAGCCGCGGUAAUACGUAGGGUGCGAGCGUUAAUCGGAAUUACUGGGCGUAAAGCGUGCGCAGGCGGUUAUAUAAGACAGUUGUGAAAUCCCCGGGCUCAACCUGGGAAUUGCAUCUGUGACUGUAUAGCUAGAGUACGGUAGAGGGGGAUGGAAUUCCGCGUGUAGCAGUGAAAUGCGUAGAUAUGCGGAGGAACACCGAUGGCGAAGGCAAUCCCCUGGACCUGUACUGACGCUCAUGCACGAAAGCGUGGGGAGCAAACAGGAUUAGAUACCCUGGUAGCCCACGCCCUAAACGAUGUCAACUGGUUGUUGGGUGCAUUAGUACUCAGUAACGAAGCUAACGCGUGAAGUUGACCGCCUGGGGAGUACGGCCGCAAGGUUGAAACGUCAAAGGAAUUGACGG
Molecule: ribosomal RNA, 586 nt
Filed under: uncultured bacterium
Lineage: Bacteria
Description: bacterial SSU rRNA
Rfam family: Bacterial small subunit ribosomal RNA
Source: RNAcentral